GCCCCUUUAGCUCAAUUUGGCAGAGCAGCUGACUCUUAAUCAGCGGGUUGUAGGUUCGAGUCCUACAAGGGGCA
Molecule: transfer RNA, 74 nt
Filed under: Pseudomonadota bacterium
Lineage: Bacteria; Pseudomonadati; Pseudomonadota
Also listed under: 3 other names
Description: tRNA-Lys
Rfam family: tRNA
About the family: Transfer RNA (tRNA) molecules are approximately 80 nucleotides in length. Their secondary structure includes four short double-helical elements and three loops (D, anti-codon, and T loops). Further hydrogen bonds mediate the characteristic L-shaped molecular structure. tRNAs have two regions of fundamental functional importance: the anti-codon, which is responsible for specific mRNA codon recognition, and the 3' end, to which the tRNAs corresponding amino acid is attached (by aminoacyl-tRNA synthetases). tRNAs cope with the degeneracy of the genetic code in two manners: having more than one tRNA (with a specific anti-codon) for a particular amino acid; and 'wobble' base-pairing, i.e. permitting non-standard base-pairing at the 3rd anti-codon position.
Source: RNAcentral